AGUGAACGCUGGCGGUAGGCCUAACACAUGCAAGUCGAACGGCAGCACAGUAAGAGCUUGCUCUUACGGGUGGCGAGUGGCGGACGGGUGAGGAAUACAUCGGAAUCUACUUUUUCGUGGGGGAUAACGUAGGGAAACUUACGCUAAUACCGCAUACGACCUACGGGUGAAAGCAUGGGAUCUUCGGACCUUUCGCGAUUGAAUGAGCCGAUGUCGGAUUAGCUAGUUGGCGGGGUAAAGGCCCACCAAGGCGACGAUCCGUAGCUGGUCUGAGAGGAUGAUCGGCCACACUGGAACUGAGACACGGUCCAGACUCCUACGGGAGGCAGCAGUGGGGAAUAUUGGACAAUGGGCGCAAGCCUGAUCCAGCCAUACCGCGUGGGUGAAGAAGGCCUUCGGGUUGUAAAGCCCUUUUGUUGGGAAAGAAAAGCAGCAGGUUAAUACCCCGCUGUUCUGACGGUACCCAAAGAAUAAGCACCGGCUAACUUCGUG
RNAcentral lists this ribosomal RNA (492 nucleotides) under uncultured bacterium. RNAcentral describes it as "partial 16S ribosomal RNA". It matches the Rfam family "Bacterial small subunit ribosomal RNA", at positions 29 to 507 of the family's 1533-position model. The record is from RNAcentral.